AGUCACUGACAUUAGAUACCCCUGUAGUCCAGGGUGUAAACGCUGCAGACUUGGUGUUUGGAAAUCCUUCGAGGGUAUUCAGUGCCGGAGAGAAGUUGUUAAGUCUGCUACUUGGGAGUACGUCCGCAAGGAUGAAACUUAAAGGAAUUGGCGGGGAGCACCACAACGGGUGGAGCCUGCGGUUUAAUUGGACUCAACGCCGGAAAUCUCACCGGAUAGGACAGACAUAUGAUAGUCGGGCUGAAGACUCUACUUGAUGAUCUG
RNAcentral lists this ribosomal RNA (264 nucleotides) under uncultured archaeon. RNAcentral describes it as "partial 16S ribosomal RNA". It matches the Rfam family "Archaeal small subunit ribosomal RNA", at positions 718 to 982 of the family's 1478-position model. The record is from RNAcentral.